UGACAUAAGAGAAAUAGGUCGCAAAGAA
Molecule: small RNA, 28 nt
Filed under: Bombyx mori (domestic silkworm)
Lineage: Eukaryota; Metazoa; Arthropoda; Insecta; Lepidoptera; Bombycidae
Description: ovarian small RNA-31438
Source: RNAcentral